Molecule: ribosomal RNA, 222 nt
Filed under: uncultured bacterium
Lineage: Bacteria
Description: partial 16S ribosomal RNA
Rfam family: Bacterial small subunit ribosomal RNA
Source: RNAcentral
UGAGGAACAUGACCUUCGGCGGGGGAUAGCCGGCCCAACGGCCGGGUAAUACCGCGUACGACCACAUGGGGACAUCCCUGAGUGGUGAAAGCAGCAAUGCGCCGAUGGAGUGCCUCGCGGCCUAUCAGCUAGUUGGUGAGGUAACGGCUCACCAAGGCGACGACGGGUAGCUGGUCUGAGAGGAUGGCCAGCCACAUUGGGACUGAGACACGGCCCAGACCU